Choloepus didactylus (southern two-toed sloth) is the source of this 1762-nucleotide long non-coding RNA. RefSeq lists it as uncharacterized. The transcript has 4 exons. Lineage: Eukaryota; Metazoa; Chordata; Mammalia; Pilosa; Megalonychidae. The record is from RefSeq and is a predicted model, not a curated record.
CGAGAGACCAGCGAGGUUACGAGCUCAUGCUGGUCACGCAGCUAGAAAGUGACCCAGAUCUCGUUCCAAAGCCUCUGCUCUCAAUCGUUUUUGUGGUUUCCUGUCCCAAGCACUUUGGGCAUCAGAUCCACUGGGCUAAUAUGGGUAACCGAGAUGCCAGGUGAUGUAAGUUACAAAGCAAUUCAUUCUCUCACUGCUUCUAGAUCAGGGUCUGGCACAGAGGCAUAAAGUGAAUUAGAUGACUAAUAUUUGGAUGAACCAAAUGAAGAAGGUGCCUUUAUGUCCACUGUGCAGGUGAAAACACAGGCUCAUGAAGAGUUUUGCCUAAGGCCUCCUGAUCAGCUUGGCAGAGGGGAGACUUGAACUCUGAUCUUUGGACCACAGGUCCUUCCCAUUCUCUGCCCACCUGGAGGGUAGCAGAACCCUGUCUGCAACUGGUUCCCAGUGGCCCCAGAAAGCUGUGGGUCAGUCUCUCUCCAUCGUGUCUGUCAAAUGCCAUUAUCCCCAGGUGGAUCAAGUCACCACCAAGGACAGAAACCGACGGUCCGUGCAUCACAUUGAAAGCUGGUGACCCACAGAGAUUCAAUCCCACCUCGAGGCUGGAGGACUGGAGAGAAAUGGAAAUGAAGUGCACGCAUCUCACCAUCUCACCUGUAAGCCCAAUGGCUUUUUCCCAUAUGUGCACCUGAGGAACCACCACCCCGAUCGAGAUUUAGAGCGAAAUGAAAUCUUCAAAGCUGCCAUAUGCUUAUGGACUGUAAAGCGCUGAAGCAAGCCAUCCAUUAGGGGUUGAACUGUGUCGCCUGAAAAGAUCUAUUCAAGUCCUAACCCCAGGACCUGUGCAGCACCCUUAUGUGGAAAUGGGGUCUUUGCAGAUGUCAGCAAGUUAAGAUGAGGUCAUCCUGGGGUAGGGGAAGCGGGAAAUUCGGACACAGACACACAGAGAGGAGAAAGCCACGAUGCAGAAGGAAGACGGCCACGUGAAGAUGGAGGCAAAGCCUGGAGGCUGCUCCCACAAGCCAAGGAACAUCUGGGGCCACCAAGAGCUGGAGGAGGCCAGGGAUAUCCUCCCAUGCAGGUUUCGAGGGAGCACAGCUCUGCCGACACUCUGAUUUUGAUUUCAAGCCUCCAGAACUAUAAGACAAUACAUUUCUGUCCUUUUGAGCCACCCAGUUUUGCUUUGUUACAGCAGCCCCAGGAAAACAUCAUCCUACUGGGUACAGUAGGUUUCAUUAACCUCGCUUUUAAAAUGAGGACCCUGGGGUCUAGAGAGGGGGCGUGACUUGCUCAAGGUCAUAUCACUAAGGAGCGGCAGCUCAGGAACUUGAACUUUGGAUGCUUCCAUCGGUAAGAGCCCUGCUCUCUGCCUCUUGAGCAUCCCGGCGUUAUUGCCACGCGUCCUUAUCCCUGGCUCCCGUUCCCUCCCAAAGCCAAGGGUUCACUGUAUUGUUUCACAAAGCUAAUCGCUAGUUUUUACAUAAAGGCUUUAUUUUACAAGCUCCAAAUUAGAUUUUAUUAAGCUCACACGUAUGAUUUUCCUUGUUUUUAUUAAAAUUAAGUUCACUCAUUUGCCACUUGCAAGGCAGUUGGAAAUUAGGAUCGCUUUGUAUCCACGGAAACAGAGAGAAUUUUAUAUGUGAUCAGACUUUUACCCACAGAAUGGGGAAAAAAGGCAGCUGGUAAUUAGGUGCGUAAUUCCUGGGCGAGCUCCUGGAGCACAAGGCCCCGCCCUCCUGCGAGCAGCUGACGGUGUAGACGGCGC